Molecule: small RNA, 2375 nt
Filed under: Pan troglodytes (chimpanzee)
Lineage: Eukaryota; Metazoa; Chordata; Mammalia; Primates; Hominidae
Description: retained intron
Source: RNAcentral
CCUAUGUAACAAACCUGCAUGUUGUGCACGUGUAUCCCAGAACUUAAAGUAUAUUAAUUUAAAAAAUUUACAUAUUUUUAGAGGUUAAAAUUAAUGUCUUUUAACAAUCUUACUAAAUAAAUAGCUAUCACCAUAUAAUUUUAUAACUGUUACUGCCCACAACCAUAAAAUUAAUUAUGAUAACCUUUACAUAAUAUAGAGUUUCUCAUUAGUGUCUGGUGUAGCAUUAGACUGGCUUCAGUCUUUAACUACUGGAUUUCAUCAAGUCAUGAUUCCAUUGAUUAAAAAUGCCUGAUGAUUACAGAAUGUUAAAAUAAAAUUCAGUAGUUGAAUGAUAUUAUUUCUAUCACUUCAAUUCUUUGAUUGUUUUUAUGUAUAUAAGAAAUUUGUGGCUGGGAGCAGUGGCUCACUCCUUUAAUCCCAGCAUUUUGGGAGGCUGAGGUGGGAGGAUCCUUUGAGCCCAGAGUUCGAGACCAGCUUGGGCAAUGUAGGGAGAUCUUAUCUUUACAAAAAAAAAAAAGAAAGAAAGAAAAAAUAGCCGAGCAUGGUGGUGCAUGCCUGUAGUUCCAGUUACUCGGGAAGCUGGGAUGGGAGGAUGCUUUGAGCGCAGGAGUUCCAGGCUGCAGUGAACUGUGAUCAUUCCACUACACUCCAGCCUGGCAACAGAGGGAUACCCCGUCUCAAAAAUAAAUAAAUAAAUAAAUAAACAAAAACAAAAAGAAAAGAAAAAUUUGUAUGAUACAAACUCUUAAGUCAAUUUAUAUACUAAAAUUCUGAUAAUUCCGUUGUAUAAAUAAGAAUAUAAAGACAUAUGUGUUGAUUAACUUCAAACAGCCGUCCACACAUUUGUUGAACAUCAUGCAUUUGCACUCUGUGCUCUUUAUUCUGUUUAUCCUAUAUUCAUACAGGUUACCAAAGAAGAUGACUUUGCUUACAUAAACUCUCCAGGUUGAUACAUUUUACUAAGAAGUUUGCGUGAAUAAUUAUAUACCCAAAGUGUUACAACCCUUGGAGAGCCUCAGAAUGAAGCCUUAGGCUUAGAGACACAAAGAAACAGGUGUAAAAUGCAUUUUCUUUUCCAUCACAUCAAGGGAUUUACCUGAUGUUUGGAAGGAAGAUACUAUUCCAUACUUUGUUUUCUUAAAUUUCCUCUCUGACAAAUUUCCUUACUGAAAUCAAAAUCUUACUAAUUGUUUUUCUCAUUUAUUGUUUCAGCCAGCCAAGCCAGGGACUUGUUGUCAAAGAUGCUAGUGAUUGACCCAGCAAAAAGAAUAUCAGUGGACGACGCCUUACAGCAUCCCUACAUCAACGUCUGGUAUGACCCAGCCGAAGUGGAGGCGCCUCCACCUCAGAUAUAUGACAAGCAGUUGGAUGAAAGAGAACACACAAUCGAAGAAUGGAAAGAACUUAUCUACAAGGAAGUAAUGAAUUCAGAAGAAAAGACUAAAAAUGGUGUAGUAAAAGGACAGCCUUCUCCUUCAGGUGCAGCAGUGAACAGCAGUGAGAGUCUCCCUCCAUCCUCGUCUGUCAAUGACAUCUCCUCCAUGUCCACCGACCAGACCCUGGCAUCUGACACUGACAGCAGCCUGGAAGCCUCGGCAGGACCCCUGGGUUGUUGCAGGUGACUAGCCGCCUGCCUGCGAAACCCAGCGUUCUUCAGGAGAUGAUGUGAUGGAACACACACACACGCAGACACACACACACACACACAAAUGCAGACAUACAACAUCAAGAAAACAGCAAGGGAGAGAAUCCAAGCCUAAAAUUAAAUAAAUCUUUCAGCCUGCUUCUUCCCCAGGGUUCUGUAUUGCAGCUAAGCUCAAAUGUAUAUUUAACUUCUAGUUGCUCUUGCUUUGGUCUUCUUCCAAUGAUGCUUACUACAGAAAGCAAAUCAGACACAAUUAGAGAAGCCUUUUCCAUAAAGUGUAAUUUUAAUGGCUGCAAAACCGGCAACCUGUAACUGCCCUUUUAAAUGGCAUGACAAGGUGUGCAGUGGCCCCAUCCAGCAUGUGUGUGUCUCUAUCUUGCAUCUACCUGCUCCUUGGCCUAGUCAGAUGGAUGUAGAUACAGAUCCGCAUGUGUCUGUAUUCAUACAGCACUACUUACUUAGAGAUGCUACUGUCAGUGUCCUCAGGGCUCUACCAAGACAUAAUGCACUGGGGUACCACAUGGUCCAUUUCAUGUGAUCUAUUACUCUGACAUAAACCCAUCUGUAAUAUAUUGCCAGUAUAUAAGCUGUUUAGUUUGUUAAUUGAUUAAACUGUAUGUCUUAUAAGAAAACAUGUAAAGGGGGAAUAUAUGGGGGGAGUGAGCUCUCUCAGACCCUUGAAGAUGUAGCUUCCAAAUUUGAAUGGAUUAAAUGGCACCUGUAUACC